AAGAAACAGGUACACGAAUACCAUCAAUAUCUACUGGAGAAGCAGCAAUGAAGGCGAUAAUGAAUACAGAAGUUGCGGUCAAUAAGGUAGGGAUCAUCAAAACACCGAACCAUCCAAUGUAAAGACGGUUUUCAGUGCUGGUUAUCCAGUUGCAGAAGCGACCCCAUAGGCUUGUACUUUCG
Phoenix dactylifera (date palm) is the source of this 182-nucleotide non-coding RNA. The record is from RefSeq and is a predicted model, not a curated record. NCBI's taxonomy places the organism in Eukaryota, Viridiplantae, Streptophyta, Magnoliopsida, Arecales, Arecaceae.